CCCUUCGGGGUGUGACUGCGUACCUUUUGUAUAAUGGGUCAGCGACUUAUAUUCUGUAGCAAGGUUAACCGUAUAGGGGAGCCGGAGGGAAACCGAGUCUUAAUUGGGCGUUAAGUUGCAGGGUAUAGACCCGAAACCCGGUGAUCUAGCCAUGGGCAGGUUGAAGGUUGGGUAACACUAACUGGAGGACCGAACCGACUAAUGUUGAAAAAUUAGCGGAUGACCUGUGGCUGGGGGUGAAAGGCCAAUCAAACCGGGAGAUAGCUGGUUCUCCCCGAAAGCUAUUUAGGUAGCGCCUCGUGAAUUCAUCUCCGGGGGUAGAGCACUGUUUCGGCUAGGGGGCCAUCCCGGCUUACCAACCCGAUGCAAACUGCGAAUACCGGAGAAUGUUAUCACGGGAGACACACGGCGGGUGCUAACGUCCGUCGUGAAGAGGGAAACAACCCAGACCGCCAGCUAAGGUCCCAAAGUCAUGGUUAAGUGGGAAACGAUGUGGGAAGGCCCAGACAGCCAGGAUGUUGGCUUAGAAGCAGCCAUCAUUUAAAGAAAGCGUAAUAGCUCACUGGUCGAGUCGGCCUGCGCGGAAGAUGUAACGGGGCUAAACCAUGCACCGAAGCUGCGGCAGCGAACGUAUCACCCAAGACAACUUUACGGAGUUGACGAUUGACGGAGCGAAGCGACGUCAAAGCGUUCAUUAAAGUCGAGUUGGCUUAGGGAUACGUUCGUUGGGUAGGGGAGCGUUCUGUAAGCCUGUGAAGGUGUGUCGUGAGGCAUGCUGGAGGUAUCAGAAGUGCGAAUGCUGACAUAAGUAACGAUAAAGCGGGUGAAAAGCCCGCUCGCCGGAAGACCAAGGGUUCCUGUCCAACGUUAAUCGGGGCAGGGUGAGUCGACCCCUAAGGCGAGGCCGAAAGGCGUAGUCGAUGGGAAACGGGUUAAUAUUCCCGUACUUGGUGUUACUGCGAAGGGGGGACGGAGAAGGCUAUGUUGGCCGGGCGACGGUUGUCCCGGUUUAAGCGUGUAGGUGUGUGUUCCAGGUAAAUCCGGUUCACUUUAACACUG
RNAcentral lists this ribosomal RNA (1059 nucleotides) under Salmonella enterica subsp. enterica serovar Typhimurium. Its description in RNAcentral is "partial 23S ribosomal RNA". It matches the Rfam family "Bacterial large subunit ribosomal RNA", at positions 582 to 1558 of the family's 2925-position model. The record is from RNAcentral. Lineage: Bacteria; Pseudomonadati; Pseudomonadota; Gammaproteobacteria; Enterobacterales; Enterobacteriaceae.